CAGGCCUGGCUGAAGGAACUGGCCCUCUGGGAGCAGUGAGGAGACGUGCGUCCUCAUCAAGUCACAACAGCCUGGUUCCAGCCUGCGGAGGGAGCAAGAAACAGCCUGAAAUCCUGAAAGCGCCCACAGCACCAGAGGGGCACUCUCCAUACAGAAGGAAACAUGGCAGCCGACAGCUUCCAAGUUUUCCUCUUACGGCUUCCACUGACAGACGUGGUUCCACGUACAAAAAACCCUGGUAUGGGAAUCAUGUGCCCUGCUCAGUCCAGGGUCGUGAGCAAGGGUCACGAGGCCAGAGCAGCUGC
Molecule: long non-coding RNA, 305 nt
Organism: Phyllostomus hastatus (greater spear-nosed bat)
Lineage: Eukaryota; Metazoa; Chordata; Mammalia; Chiroptera; Phyllostomidae
Exons: 3
Source: RefSeq, a predicted model, not a curated record